This 615-nucleotide ribosomal RNA is filed under the name uncultured bacterium. RNAcentral's name for it is "bacterial SSU rRNA". It matches the Rfam family "Bacterial small subunit ribosomal RNA", at positions 35 to 655 of the family's 1533-position model. The record is from RNAcentral.
GUUGGCGGCGUGGAUUAGGCAUGCAAGUCGCGCGAGAAGUUGGUUAGCUUGCUAACCGACGGACAGCGGCGGAAGGGAGAGUAACGCGUGGUUAUGUGCCCUGAAGACCGGGAUAGUGUUGGGAAACUGGCAGUAAUACCGGAUAAUAUCUUUGGAUCAAAGGUGUGAUUCCGCUUCAGGAUCGGACCGCGUACUAUUAGCUUGUUGGUGGGGUAAUGGCCCACCAAGGCUCAGAUGGUUACCGGGUGUGAGAGCAUGACCCGGCUCACUGGGACUGAGACACUGCCCAGACAUCUACGGAUGGCUGCAGUCGAGAAUCUUCGGCAAUGGACGAAAGUCUGACCGAGCGACGCCGCGUGCGGGAUGAAGGCCCUCGGGUUGUAAACCGCUGUCAGUUAGGAGGAAAUCUAUGAGAGCACUCUCUCAUAGUUGACCGAUUUUCAGAGGAAGGACGGGCUAAGUUCGUGCCAGCAGCCGCGGUAAGACGAACCGUCCGAACGUUAUUCGGUAUCACUGGGCUUAAAGCGUGCGUAGGCGGCUUGAUAGGUGAGAUGUGAAAGCCCACGGCCCAACCGUGGAAUUGCGUUUCAAACCCUCAAGCUCGAGGAAGAUAGG